CCGAAUCCACUGACAGGCCUUGAAUGGUCUGAUAUUGUUCUUUUGAUUUGCACUAGGAUGGGGGGAAGGGGGUCCCUGUACUUUCUAUCUAUCUUUGUAGUGGCCCAAUUGAAUAAGGGACUACAUCU
Molecule: small nucleolar RNA, 128 nt
Organism: Pipistrellus kuhlii (Kuhl's pipistrelle)
Lineage: Eukaryota; Metazoa; Chordata; Mammalia; Chiroptera; Vespertilionidae
Product: small nucleolar RNA SNORA31
Exons: 1
Source: RefSeq, a predicted model, not a curated record